Molecule: ribosomal RNA, 1524 nt
Filed under: Solitalea canadensis DSM 3403
Lineage: Bacteria; Pseudomonadati; Bacteroidota; Sphingobacteriia; Sphingobacteriales; Sphingobacteriaceae
Description: 16S ribosomal RNA
Rfam family: Bacterial small subunit ribosomal RNA
Source: RNAcentral
AUACAACGGAGAGUUUGAUCCUGGCUCAGGAUGAACGCUAGCGGCAGGCCUAAUACAUGCAAGUCGAACGAGAUUAGAGACUUCGGUUUCUAUGAAAGUGGCGCACGGGUGCGUAACACGUAUGCAACCUACCUUCAAUUGGGGGAUAGCCUUCCGAAAGGGAGAUUAAUACCGCAUAAGAUAUCAGAAUGGCAUCAUUUAGAUAUUAAAACUUUGGUGAUUGAAGAUGGGCAUGCGUUGCAUUAGCUAGUUGGUAAGGUAACGGCUUACCAAGGCUACGAUGCAUAGGGGAUCUGAGAGGAUGGUCCCCCACACUGGUACUGAGAUACGGACCAGACUCCUACGGGAGGCAGCAGUAAGGAAUAUUGGUCAAUGGACGGAAGUCUGAACCAGCCAUGCCGCGUGCAGGAAGACGGCCCUAUGGGUUGUAAACUGCUUUUGUCGGGGAAUAAACCUAGAUACGUGUAUUUAGUUGAAGGUACCCGAAGAAUAAGGAUCGGCUAACUCCGUGCCAGCAGCCGCGGUAAUACGGAGGAUCCAAGCGUUAUCCGGAUUUAUUGGGUUUAAAGGGUGCGUAGGCGGUAAAUUAAGUCAGAGGUGAAAGCCUGCAGCUCAACUGUAGAACUGCCUUUGAUACUGGUUUACUUGAGUACAGAUGAAGUGGGCGGAAUGUGACAAGUAGCGGUGAAAUGCAUAGAUAUGUCACAGAACACCGAUUGCGAAGGCAGCUCACUAAAGUGUAACUGACGCUGAGGCACGAAAGCGUGGGGAUCAAACAGGAUUAGAUACCCUGGUAGUCCACGCCCUAAACGAUGAUUACUCGCUGUCGGCGAUAUACAGUCGGCGGCUAAGCGAAAGCGUUAAGUAAUCCACCUGGGGAGUACGGUCGCAAGAUUGAAACUCAAAGGAAUUGACGGGGGCCCGCACAAGCGGAGGAGCAUGUGGUUUAAUUCGAUGAUACGCGAGGAACCUUACCCGGGCUUGAAAGUUAGUGAAUGAUUUAGAAAUAGAUCAGUCAGCAAUGACACGAAACUAGGUGCUGCAUGGCUGUCGUCAGCUCGUGCCGUGAGGUGUUGGGUUAAGUCCCGCAACGAGCGCAACCCCUAUGAUUAGUUGCCAGCAUUAAGAUGGGGACUCUAAUCAGACUGCCUACGCAAGUAGAGAGGAAGGCGGGGACGACGUCAAGUCAUCAUGGCCCUUACGUCCGGGGCUACACACGUGCUACAAUGGAUGGUACAGAGGGCUGCGACCUAGUAAUAGGAAGCCAAUCUCAAAAAGCCAUUCACAGUUCGGAUUGAGGUCUGCAACUCGACCUCAUGAAGUUGGAUUCGCUAGUAAUCGCGUAUCAGCAAUGACGCGGUGAAUACGUUCCCGGGCCUUGUACACACCGCCCGUCAAGCCAUGAAAGCCGGGGGUGCCUAAAGACUGUAGCCGCAAGGAGCGGUUUAGGGCAAAACUGGUAAUUAGGGCUAAGUCGUAACAAGGUAGCCGUACCGGAAGGUGCGGCUGGAAUACCUCCUUUCU